Molecule: ribosomal RNA, 253 nt
Filed under: uncultured bacterium
Lineage: Bacteria
Description: partial 16S ribosomal RNA
Rfam family: Bacterial small subunit ribosomal RNA
Source: RNAcentral
UACGAAGGGGGCGAGCAUUGUUCGGAAUUACUGGGCGUAAAGGGUGCGUAGGCGGAUAUUUAAGUCAGAUGUGAAAGCCCAGGGCUCAACCCUGGAACUGCAUUUGAUACUAUUUAUCUUGAAUAGUGAAGAGGAGAGUAGAAUUCCCAGUGUAGAGGUGAAAUUCGUAGAGAUUGGGAAGAAUACCAGUGGCGUAGGCGACUCUCUGGUCACAUAUUGACGCUGAGGCACGAAAGCGUGGGGAGCAAACAGG